Nematostella vectensis (starlet sea anemone) is the source of this 541-nucleotide long non-coding RNA. RefSeq lists it as uncharacterized. The record is from RefSeq and is a predicted model, not a curated record. The transcript has 2 exons. Lineage: Eukaryota; Metazoa; Cnidaria; Anthozoa; Actiniaria; Edwardsiidae.
GCUGUUUGGAGGGAUGGUUGGGGUCUGUUUAACUAUCCUUCGCACUUCAAGCUCGUUGGCGAUCUGCGCCGCGACGCCGAUGGUGACCAGGAUCAUAAUUACAGCGAACACGAAGCGUCACUCGCCAUUCGCUGAUUAGAAGUGCCAGGUUGGCCAGUGUAGAAGGCAUCCACCGCCGACGCUGCUUGUAAAACUCGUCAAAGUUCAUGGGACAGUACGUGACAUCUUCUGCGGCUGCGCAGUACAUCAAACGCCAGCCCGCCUGAACCAUUAGCGUGCACAUCCAGCGGUCUUCGCCUGUAUGGUAUGCGCCAACGAUCAGAUAAAAUUAUGCUCUGAAGUUAAUGUAAGGGGAAUAGUGUUUUGGUGCCUACUUACGAGAACUUUUCUAACAAUAGUAGAAAUUAGGAUGGCACAAAAGCAAACGUCUGUCUUGAUCAUUUAUAUUGAAAUGAUAAGAAACUCAUUAUCAAAAUAUUCAUAUGGAAUCUAAUAUAAUAUUGGAAAAUUAAAAAGAAAAAAAUAAGAGAAAAUGAACAAA